This 133-nucleotide small nucleolar RNA is filed under the name Octodon degus (degu). RNAcentral describes it as "Small nucleolar RNA SNORA40 (ENSODEG00000022448.1)". It matches the Rfam family "Small nucleolar RNA SNORA40". From Rfam's summary of the family: The snoRNA ACA 40 belongs to the H/ACA family of snoRNAs and guides the pseudouridylation of 28S rRNA subunit at position U4565. Lineage: Eukaryota; Metazoa; Chordata; Mammalia; Rodentia; Octodontidae. The record is from Rfam by way of RNAcentral.
AGCACUUACAUGUGUUUUUAUCUUACCUUUUGUGGAUUAAAAUUUAAAUGAACAGGUGCAAAAAAUAAAUCCUCUUUUGCAACCCAGAACUCAUUGUUUGGUUUAAGUUUUGAUACAUUAAAGAAGGAAUAUG